UUAACGCUGGCGGCGUUGCCUAACACAUGCAAGUCGAACGGACGUCUUCGGACGUCAGUGGCGAACGGGUGAGUAACGCGUAGGUAAUGUGCCUCUGCGCUGCGAAUAACAGCCUGAAAAGGCUGCUAAUACGGAAUGGUCCUCUUGGUGGGCAUCCCCCUUGAGGUAAAGAUUUAUCGCGCGGAGAUCAGCCUGCGUCCUAUUAGUUAGUUGGCGGGUAACGGCCACCAAGACGACGAUGGGUAACUGGUCUGAGAGGAUGAACAGUCACACUGGAACUGAGAACGGUCCAGACUCCUACGGGAGGCAGCAGUGAGGAAUUUUGCGCAAUGGAGGGAACUCUGACGCUAAGCAACGCCGCGUGAGUGAUGACGGCCUUCGGGUUGUAAAGCUCUGUCGAGAGGGACGAGUAGGGACGGUACCUCUCAAGAAAGCCCCGGCUAACUAUGUGCCAGCAGCCGC
RNAcentral lists this ribosomal RNA (462 nucleotides) under uncultured bacterium. RNAcentral's name for it is "bacterial SSU rRNA". It matches the Rfam family "Bacterial small subunit ribosomal RNA", at positions 32 to 518 of the family's 1533-position model. The record is from RNAcentral.